AAAAAAAGAAGUUGUGGAAUUGUGACCUAAAUAACACGGCCCUUUAGUUUGUUUCCUCACCGGUGACAAAUUCGUAACCACGCUUUUCAGUGUACCAAUUUUACCAGGACAAUAUAUAUGACCAUUUUAAUUUUUAACAAUUAAAGUGCAUUCUCUUAAGAGCUUAUUCUUGCAUAAUUGAAUAUGAUGCUCACGGUCACGGGUUUCUUAGGGAUAACGUACAUGAAAUCUCAAAAGAACCAAUAACGUAGCAAGAGUAAAAACUCUCAUGGAGAACUACGUUCAGAUCUCCUUGGUCUAACACGCUAGCAACUUCCAAUGUAUUCUACAGUUUGGAUAGAUCUCGCAAAUGAAACCUAAUUUUUACUU
This 369-nucleotide small RNA is filed under the name Arabidopsis thaliana (thale cress). Its description in RNAcentral is "ATSL297380". Lineage: Eukaryota; Viridiplantae; Streptophyta; Magnoliopsida; Brassicales; Brassicaceae. The record is from RNAcentral.